RNAcentral lists this ribosomal RNA (231 nucleotides) under uncultured bacterium. RNAcentral describes it as "partial 16S ribosomal RNA". It matches the Rfam family "Bacterial small subunit ribosomal RNA", at positions 524 to 753 of the family's 1533-position model. The record is from RNAcentral.
UACGUAGGUGGCAAGCGUUGUCCGGAAUUACUGGGCGUAAAGCGCGCGUAGGCGGACCUGCAAGUCGGGGGUGAAAGCCCGAGGCUCAACCUCGGAACUGCCUUCGAUACUGCGGGUCUCGAGUCCGGGAGAGGUGAGUGGAAUUCCUAGUGUAGAGGUGAAAUUCGUAGAUAUUAGGAAGAACACCAGUGGCGAAGGCGGCUCACUGGCCCGGUACUGACGCUGAGGGCG